CGAACGCGGACCAGGCCAGUGCCGACGUCUUAAUUAGCAGAACCUUCUGGAAAGUUGGGCCAUAGCGGGUGACAGCCCCGUAUGCGAAAAUGAAGAUGUCGGACUUGAGUAGGGCGGAGCACGUGAAACUCUGUCUGAACAUGGGGGGACCACCCUCCAAGCCUAAAUACUCGUACAUGACCGAUAGCGAACCAGUACCGUGAGGGAAAGGUGAAAAGCACCCCGAUGAGGGGAGUGAAACAGUACCUGAAACCGGAUGCCUACAAGCAGUUGGAGGGCUCUUGAAGCCUGACAGCGUACCUCUUGCAUAAUGGGUCUGUGACUUAGUGUAUCGAGCAAGCUUAAGCCGUUAGGUGUAGGCGCAGCGAAAGCGAGUCUGAAUAGGGCGACCAUGAGUUCGAUGCAUUAGACCCGAAACCCGGCGAUCUAGGCAUGACCAGGCUGAAGGUGCGGUAACACGCACUGGAGGGCCGAACCGUUUAAUGUUGAAAAAUUAUCGGAUGAGUUGUGUUUAGGGGUGAAAGGCCAAUCAAGCCGGGAAAUAGCUGGUUCUCCGCGAAAUCUAUUGAGGUAGAGCGUCGGAUGAUUGCCGUUGGGGGUAGAGCACUGGAUGGAUGCGGGGGUCGCGAGAUCUACCAAUUCUAACCAAACUCCGAAUACCAACGAGUCUAGUCCGGCAGACAGACGGCGGGUGCUAAGGUCCGUCGUCAAAAGGGAAACAGCCCUAACCUACAGCUAAGGUCCCCAAGUCACGUCUAAGUGGGAAAGCAUGUGGGAUUUCCAAAACAACCAGGAGGUUGGCUUAGAAGCAGCCAUCCUUUAAAGAAAGCGUAACAGCUCACUGGUCUAAACAAGAGAUCCUGCGGCGAAGAUGUAACGGGGCUCAAGACGUGCACCGAAGCUUAGGGUUCAGUCUUUGACUGAGCGGUAGCGGAGCGUUCCGUAGGCCGUUGAAGCGGGAGGGUAACCGACCGUGGAGGUAUCGGAAGUGCGAAUGCAGACAUGAGUAGCGAUUAAGAGGGUGAGAUGCCCUCUCGCCGAAAUUCCAAGGGUUCCUGCUUAAAGCUAAUCUGAGCAGGGUAAGCCGGCCCCUAAGACGAGCCCGAAGGGGGUAGUCGAUGGGAACCACGUUAAUAUUCGUGGGCCUGGUGGUGUGUGACGGAUGGCGUAACUUGUUCGGCCUGAUUGGAUUGGUCCGGGCAGGGAAGUUGUCCCAGGAAAUAGCCCCACCGUAUAGACCGUACCCUAAACCGACACAGGUGGAAUGGUAGAGUAUACCAAGGCGUUUGAGAGAAGUAUCCUGAAGGAACUCGGCAAAUUGCCUCCGUACCUUCGGAAGAAGGAGGCCCCACAUAUGCGCAAGCACUUGUGGGGGGCACAGGCCAGGGGGUAGCGACUGUUUAGCAAAAACACAGGGCUCUGCUAAGUCGGCUUCAAGACGACGUAUAGGGCCUGACGCCUGCCCGGUGCCUGAAGGUUAAGAGGAGGAGUGCAAGCUCUGAAUUGAAGCCCAGGUAAACGGCGGCCGUAACAAUAACGGUCCUAAGGUAGCGAAAUUCCUUGUCGGGUAAGUUCCGACCUGCACGAA
This 1588-nucleotide ribosomal RNA is filed under the name metagenome. RNAcentral describes it as "bacterial LSU rRNA". It matches the Rfam family "Bacterial large subunit ribosomal RNA", at positions 290 to 1996 of the family's 2925-position model. The record is from RNAcentral.